AUACGGAGGGUGCAAGCGUUGUCUGGAUUUAUUGGGUUUAAAGGGUGCGUAGGCGGUUUAUUAAGUCGGAGUUGAAAUCCCACAGCUUAACUGUGGAACUGGCUCCGAUACUGGUUAACUUGAGUAUGGUUGAGGUAGGCGGAAUUUAAGAUGUAGCGGUGAAAUGCAUAGAUAUCUUAAAGAACACCAAUUGCGUAGGCAGCUUACUGGACCAUAACUGACGCUGAGGCACGAAAGCGUGGGUAGCGAACAGGAUUAGAAACCCCAGUAGUCC
This 274-nucleotide ribosomal RNA is filed under the name uncultured bacterium. RNAcentral describes it as "partial 16S ribosomal RNA". It matches the Rfam family "Bacterial small subunit ribosomal RNA", at positions 523 to 796 of the family's 1533-position model. The record is from RNAcentral.